This is a non-coding RNA of Neolamprologus brichardi, 95 nucleotides long. NCBI's taxonomy places the organism in Eukaryota, Metazoa, Chordata, Actinopteri, Cichliformes, Cichlidae. The record is from RefSeq and is a predicted model, not a curated record.
GCUCUAUCCCACCAACUACCACCUGACUGCAUCAUCAUUGGAGAGUGUAAUGUCAGCAUGGCAAAUGAAACGGAAAUCUGUAUCGGUUUGAACAG